UCUCUUCCAUUUGCCCCGAAGAGUGCCUAUAUUCGACCUGUCGGCUUGACCGACUAUGGUGAUAAAUGGGCGAUGUAAUAAGCCGUUCGGACCCGGGGGCGGUACCCGGCGCCUCCACCAAAAACUGUCGUGACGGACAGCUUUUGCUGGGGGCGAAACAGGAUCGACGAAGGUGUAAAGAUCGUACUUUUGCCCGGCAUUGUACCACCGUCAUCGGGCUAACUCAGUAGUUGCAAACGACAACUAUGCGGAAGCACGUCUCGCUGCGUAAUGCGGUGCGAUAGCUUCAAAUAAACUCCUGAGGGUUCGCACCUUCAGGCGGGGUUCGGAGGUACCUGGCAACAGAAACCUCCACU
RNAcentral lists this transfer-messenger RNA (356 nucleotides) under Aquamicrobium lusatiense. Its description in RNAcentral is "Alphaproteobacteria transfer-messenger RNA". It matches the Rfam family "Alphaproteobacteria transfer-messenger RNA". From Rfam's summary of the family: Bacterial tmRNA, also known as 10Sa RNA or SsrA, is named for its dual tRNA and mRNA-like properties. Its role is to liberate the mRNA from a stalled ribosome. Lineage: Bacteria; Pseudomonadati; Pseudomonadota; Alphaproteobacteria; Hyphomicrobiales; Phyllobacteriaceae. The record is from Rfam by way of RNAcentral.